UAAAUGCUUCUCUUCCUUGAGGCCAACGAUAUAUUUUAAUGAGCCGAAAAGCGUCGCGAAGAAAUAAUAAAACGGAUUAUAAAAUAACGACGAGUACCUACCAAAAUAAUAACUCCGUACGGCUUCCCGUGGCCGAAUUAAUCGAAUGUAAUUGGAGAUUUGUUUUUAUUGAUCGUUACUUGAAUGGCCGUAUUAUGUUUUAUAUUUUUUCUUUUUUUUUAUGAAAAAAAAAAUAAAUCGACGCUUCGACGAACGAACAUCAUGUAUACAGUGUGUACGUAAUGUUGACAAUAUACAAUUUAAUUAACUAUAUAGCUUU
Molecule: non-coding RNA, 319 nt
Organism: Cinara cedri
Lineage: Eukaryota; Metazoa; Arthropoda; Insecta; Hemiptera; Aphididae
Source: the annotation of a GenBank genome assembly